Capsella rubella is the source of this 1339-nucleotide RNA transcript. RefSeq lists it as uncharacterized. The transcript has 12 exons. The record is from RefSeq and is a predicted model, not a curated record. NCBI's taxonomy places the organism in Eukaryota, Viridiplantae, Streptophyta, Magnoliopsida, Brassicales, Brassicaceae.
AAGGGGAAAAACAUCGAAGGCUUGGGAAGUUAAAGUGCUCGAAGUCGGAAGCGUAAUUUGGUCGAAAGAUUCGUUCUUUUCUCCGACAAGAAUGUCCAAAUCUGGGUUUAGUCUGUUCAUCGCUCUUCUUCUAUAUCUCAUGGGUUUCUUACUUCCGUCGAGAGUUUCUGCAAUUAGGAAGGAUAUCGGAUUUUUAGAAGAGCGGAGUUGCAGAACAACUGUCCAAGGAAGAUACUUGAUCUCCGAUGAUGAAGGCAAUGUGUGUGAUGCUCUGUCAUUGGAAUCUCGAACCCGUUGUUGUCCAUGGAAAGGAGAAAGAUUCUCUUGUCAUGGAUGCAACCUCCUUUCACAAUGCUGCAACUCUUAUGAAUUCUGCGUUUCUUGCUGCUUGAAUCCGUCUCGGACGAUUCUUAAGCAGGUGGUUAAAAUAAAAGUUGCAAAGCCCGCUACAGCAGGGACUUACAAGACUUUAUUUGAUUUUUGUUCCGGGAGGUGCCGCCAUAAUUCUGAGAGUGUGGUUCAUGAAAAUGCUUACCAUAGCGAGUUUCACCAUUGUUUUUCUCUGAAAUCAAAUGCUUCAGGAGCUAAUCUCACACAAGUUGAAACCAGACUACUUGGCAUUGACGUUAUCGUGGGAAGUCAAGGAGAUUCAUGCGAUGCAGUUUGCAAGUUACGUGGACAAUUGUGUGUGAUGAAUAAACUCUCACUUCUAAAUCAAUGUGACGUUAUGAAAAGAUACAUGACCUGCAAAGGGUCGUGUAUAGGAAGUGCCGGGGCUGACCAACCUGCUGAAGUUGUCGAAGGUGCCCCCAGAGAUUUGUAUCCAGGCGCGUGUUUGUAUACCAGGACAGAAUCAAUGCUUUCCUGUGACGGUUCUCACCAACACACCAGACGACUCUGCCCAUGUGCCUAGAAACUAGUCAGUACUAAGAAUUAUACCAAAGCUUUUUCCGCCUCUUGUAGCUGUUUUAGAAUGCUAGUUGAAAACGCUGAUCAUAAUGAGAGAAAAAGCAUCUGUCGACAUCAAGUGUAACGUGUGUGGCCUACAUUGGGAAUUAACUACAAGGCUACAGAAGCAGCAACGUAUUCGUCAGAUCUUUGUCACACAUUGAUCAUUAUAUGAGGUGCAGCUGUCUCGAACAGAGCCAAAAUCUCAACUUUGUAUUCGUCCAUAAUCUCUCUUCACUAAACCAGCAACAACAUAAAAGAAGGCCUGAGAGUUCGAAGUUGAUUCAGAUUUGAUCUGUCUACGAAUAACUACAUUUGUUUGAUGAGCUUAAGAUAUGCAGAACUUGUCAAAUUUCACAUUGAUCAACAAAGAAAGACUUUUGUUUUUUUA